This 482-nucleotide ribosomal RNA is filed under the name uncultured bacterium. RNAcentral's name for it is "partial 16S ribosomal RNA". It matches the Rfam family "Bacterial small subunit ribosomal RNA", at positions 28 to 507 of the family's 1533-position model. The record is from RNAcentral.
GACGAACGCUGGCGGCGUGCCUAACACAUGCAAGUCGAACGAUGCAGUCGAGACACGCGGACUACGGUUCAAUAAUCACUUCGGACCUGUGGUAGACGUGUGAGUAACGCGUGAGCAACCUACCUCAUACCAAGGAAUAUCCUCGGGAAACAGUGAUUAAUACUAUAUGUGACAUUCCUAAGGCUUAUCAAGAAUGUUAAAGAUACGGCGGCAAGGGAUGGGCUCGCGUCCGAUUAGCUAGUUGGUAAGGUAAACGCCGACCAAGGCGACGAUGGAUAACCGGUCUGAGAGGGUGAUCAGUCACAUUGGGACUGAGACACGGCCCAGACUCCUACGGGAGGCAGCAGUGGGGAAUAUUGGACAAUGGAGGGAACUCUGAUGCAGCAAUGCCGCGUGAGCGAUGAAGGAAUUCGGGUCGUAAAGCUCUGUUCUAUGGGAUGAAAAGGACAGUACCGUGAGAAAAAGCCCCGGCUAACUACGUG